GACGAACGCUGGCGGCGUGCUUAACACAUGCAAGUCGAACGGUAAGGCCCUUCGGGGUACACGAGUGGCGAACGGGUGAGUAACACGUGGGUGAUCUGCCCUGCACUUCGGGAUAAGCCUGGGAAACUGGGUCUAAUACCGGAUAGGACCACUGCCUGCAUGGGUGGUGGUGGAAAGCUUUUGCGGUGUGGGAUGGGCCCGCGGCCUGUCAGCUUGUUGGUGGGGUGAUGGCCUACCAAGGCGACGACGGGUAGCCGGCCUGAGAGGGUGACCGGCCACACUGGGACUGAGAUACGGCCCAGACUCCUACGGGAGGCAGCAGUGGGGAAUAUUGCACAAUGGGCGCAAGCCUGAUGCAGCGACGCCGCGUGAGGGAUGACGGCCUUCGGGUUGUAAACCUCUUUCAGCACCGACGAAGCGCAAGUGACGGUAGGUGCAGAAGAAGGACCGGCCAACUACGCGCCAGCCGCCGCAGUAA
This 478-nucleotide ribosomal RNA is filed under the name uncultured bacterium. RNAcentral describes it as "partial 16S ribosomal RNA". It matches the Rfam family "Bacterial small subunit ribosomal RNA", at positions 28 to 523 of the family's 1533-position model. The record is from RNAcentral.